RNAcentral lists this ribosomal RNA (253 nucleotides) under uncultured bacterium. RNAcentral describes it as "partial 16S ribosomal RNA". It matches the Rfam family "Bacterial small subunit ribosomal RNA", at positions 524 to 776 of the family's 1533-position model. The record is from RNAcentral.
GACAGAGGGUGCUAACGUUGUUCGGAAUUACUGGGCGUAAAGCGCGUGUAGGCUGUUACGCAAGUCGGGCGUGAAAGCCCUGGGCUCAACCCAGGAAGUGCACCCGAAACUGCGCAACUUGAGUCUCGGAGAGGGAGGCGGAAUUCUGGGUGUAGAGGUGAAAUUCGUAGAUAUCCAGAGGAACACCAGUGGCGAAGGCGGCCUCCUGGACGAUGACUGACGCUGAGACGCGAAAGCGUGGGUAGCAAACAGG